GACGAACGCUGGCGGCGUGCUUAACACAUGCAAGUCGAACGGAAAGGCCCUGCUUUUGUGGGGUGCUCGAGUGGCGAACGGGUGAGUAACACGUGAGUAACCUGCCCUUGACUUUGGGAUAACUUCAGGAAACUGGGGCUAAUACCGGAUAGGAGCUCCUGCUGCAUGGUGGGGGUUGGAAAGUUUCGGCGGUUGGGGAUGGACUCGCGGCUUAUCAGCUUGUUGGUGGGGUAGUGGCUUACCAAGGCUUUGACGGGUAGCCGGCCUGAGAGGGUGACCGGGCACAGGGGGCUAGGGGAGGCACCCGUGGGCAAUCGGGGGGAAUGGGCGGGGACUUGUGCCAACGGGGCGGAGGCUGUGAAGAAGAUCGCCGGGUUGGGGAGCACGGCCUGUGGGGUGGAAAGCCAUUACGUUUGUACCGAGGUGUGUUGACGGGAAAUGGAGAAAAAGGCCCGGCUAACUUCGUG
RNAcentral lists this ribosomal RNA (467 nucleotides) under uncultured bacterium. RNAcentral describes it as "partial 16S ribosomal RNA". It matches the Rfam family "Bacterial small subunit ribosomal RNA", at positions 28 to 507 of the family's 1533-position model. The record is from RNAcentral.